AGCGGGAAGUAGUUUACUACUUUGCCGGCGAGCGGCGGACGGGUGAGUAAUGUCUGGGAAACUGCCUGAUGGAGGGGGAUAACUACUGGAAACGGUAGCUAAUACCGCAUAACGUCUUCGGACCAAAGUGGGGGACCUUCGGGCCUCACGCCAUCGGAUGUGCCCAGAUGGGAUUAGCUAGUAGGUGGGGUAAUGGCUCACCUAGGCGACGAUCCCUAGCUGGUCUGAGAGGAUGACCAGCCACACUGGAACUGAGGCACGGUCCAGACUCCUACGGGAGGCAGCAGUGGGGAAUAUUGCACAAUGGGCGCAAGCCUGAUGCAGCCAUGCCGCGUGUGUGAAGAAGGCCUUCGGGUUGUAAAGCACUUUCAGCGAGGAGGAAGGCCAAUAACUUAAUACGUUGUUGGAUUGACGUUACUCGCAGAAGAAGCACCGGCUAACUCCGUGCCAGCAGCCGCGGUAAUACGGAGGGUGCAAGCGUUAAUCGGAAUUACUGGGCGUAAAGCGCACGCAGGCGGUUUGUUAAGUCAGAUGUGAAAUCCCCGCGCUUAACGUGGGAACUGCAUUUGAAACUGGCAAGCUAGAGUCUUGUAGAGGGGGGUAGAAUUCCAGGUGUAGCGGUGAAAUGCGUAGAGAUCUGGAGGAAUACCGGUGGCGAAGGCGGCCCCCUGGACAAAGACUGACGCUCAGGUGCGAAAGCGUGGGGAGCAAACA
RNAcentral lists this ribosomal RNA (714 nucleotides) under uncultured bacterium. RNAcentral's name for it is "bacterial SSU rRNA". It matches the Rfam family "Bacterial small subunit ribosomal RNA", at positions 65 to 774 of the family's 1533-position model. The record is from RNAcentral.